AAGCACUCAGGGCACAUAGCACUAGCUCCAAGAAUUGAAUUUCCCUCAAGCCUAGCUAGUGAAGCAGAUUGCUGUAACCCUAAGAUUGGUUUUAUGCAGUAACUGCUGAAUUGACCUGCUGGGACUCUAAGACUACUUUUACUUACAGCCGUCACUCAUCAAUCAGAGCUUGUAAGCUACCAAAAGCUUUUCUAGUGUCAAUGAGCUUUCUUUCAAAACAGCACAGUGCCAAGUCAUCCAUAAACAUUGACAGUACAGAGUUUCAUCCAACACAACAGCCUUACAAGGAAGCUUCACUCCUCUGCUCAGCUGCUGCACCACAUUUCGGAUCAGAACAUCUAGAUCCAUCAAAACAAGAGGUGGAUGAGAUAUCUGCACAUUCAGGGAGGGGAGGAUAAAAUCCAGGGGGCCUCAUGAGAUUGCUCUCCACGUGCGAGUGAGCAGACAGGCGGUGUAUUUCCUGAUUGCCCCAGGCUAGGUGAGGAGUGGCUCAGGCAGCCCAGGCUGGGCAGGGACACUAGAGACUGAUGCAUUAAAGAAAAAUUUAUCAAAAAAUCAGGGAAGAAGCUAGUUUCUCUUUACCCCCUCUAUUUAAGGACCCCUUGAGUGAUAGUUCCCGGAUCCUCCUGCGCUGGUGUUUGUCUUUCGCUGAAGGUGAUGGAUGUGUAAGCUGCACUAAUGAGCAGGGCUUGGGCCAUCAGACAGUCACAGGGCCGUCCAGCUCCAUGCACCUCCCAGGCCGUGAGACAGUCACAGAGUUGUCCAUCUCCACGCAUCUUCCAGGUUCUGAGACAGUCACGGGGCCGUCCAUCUCCACGCACCUCCCAGGUUGUGAGACAGUCACGGGGCCAUCCAUCUCCACGCACCUCCCAGGUUGUGAGACAGUCACGGGGCUGUCCAUCUCCAUGCACCUCCCAGCUGUCAGCAUGGUCCACCGGGGAAAUAUGUGAUUAAUGCAGAGGAUUAUGUGUGUGUUGGGGUGGAGGGAGAUGUAGCCCAA
This 1000-nucleotide long non-coding RNA is filed under the name Homo sapiens (human). RNAcentral describes it as "HSALNT0291088". The record is from RNAcentral. Lineage: Eukaryota; Metazoa; Chordata; Mammalia; Primates; Hominidae.